Molecule: long non-coding RNA, 119 nt
Organism: Etheostoma spectabile (orangethroat darter)
Lineage: Eukaryota; Metazoa; Chordata; Actinopteri; Perciformes; Percidae
Exons: 3
Source: RefSeq, a predicted model, not a curated record
UUGACCAAUAAUUGCGACCUUACACCAAACGACUUUUCAAGCGAUUCCUAUGUUGCAGACUAAUUUCCAAUAUCAGAAUGAAAUCCUGAGAGUCUUGGUAGAGUUGGUGCACACUCAGG